Molecule: unclassified non-coding RNA, 491 nt
Filed under: Hevea brasiliensis (rubber tree)
Lineage: Eukaryota; Viridiplantae; Streptophyta; Magnoliopsida; Malpighiales; Euphorbiaceae
Source: RNAcentral
GGUGGAGAUGGUACUACUGGGCAUCACCAACUGCUUGGACAAUAUAUGGUCUGAUCACCUCCCAGGUGGGAAAGCUAUCACAUGAUUUAGUUAUACCAGGGGAUACAUUAAUGCCAGUGAAUGAUUACCUGAAGAUAGCCUUUGGAUUUGAGUAUGACUUCCUUGGAGCAGUUGCAGCUGCCCAUAUUGGUUUUGUUCUCCUUUUCUUGUUUGUCUUUGCUUAUGGAAUCAAGUUCCUCAACUUCCAGAGAAGAUAGUUCUGAGAAACCCAGAUUGAAAAGAAAAGGAAAGAAAAUUAACCAUUUUUUUUUUUCGUUUGGAAGUCAGCAAGUUCGGAUUAAAUUUAGUUGAUGAUUAGUGGGGCUUGCAUGCCUUGCCUUUUUUACUAUCAACUUGUAUUAUUUUCUCUUUCUCCAUUUCGAUGUUCUUUAGUCCAUUUAACAGUUUUUUUUUGUUUUUAAUUUAAUUUAAAGCCUUAGAUAGGAAAAAUU